Molecule: long non-coding RNA, 263 nt
Filed under: Gossypium barbadense (sea-island cotton)
Lineage: Eukaryota; Viridiplantae; Streptophyta; Magnoliopsida; Malvales; Malvaceae
Description: long non-coding RNA (GBAR_LNC023482)
Source: RNAcentral
UUAAAGUUAAUCGAAAUUGUAUGGUAGACUAAGCUUUGAACCAACUAUUCCAUUUGAUUAACUGAACACAUCUCACACAAUGAUUUCAACAUCAGUCAAUGCAUAGUAUCUAGGGACACUAUUAUAGCCAUGUGUCUAUGUCCUCUUUUCAUGAGUGUUGUUAGAGCCAAGCCCUUAAGUUCCUAGAAGCGGCCACACUUCCACUCACAUAGGUAGAUCCCAUCAAAAGUGUUCCCGUAAUUAUAACACUCUAACAUAUUUAU